This 726-nucleotide non-coding RNA is filed under the name Physosmaragdina sp. N56. The record is from RNAcentral. Lineage: Eukaryota; Metazoa; Arthropoda; Insecta; Coleoptera; Chrysomelidae.
AAUUUUACUUUGUUUAUUUAUGUAAAUUUUAAUUUUAAAGAAUUUUGGGUACAGUUAUUAAUAUUAUAUAUUUAAUAAUUUAAGAUAUAGCAAUAGAAUAGAGUACUGACACAAUUUGUGCCAGCAGUCGCGGUUAUACAGAUAGUGCAAUUUAACGUUGUCAGUGAGAAGUUAAUUUGGGCAUAUUUAUUAAUUUAUUUAAAUUUAAAGGUGAAAUUUUAAUUUAAUAAAAAUUAAUUUUAAUUAAAUGAGGCUCGGAGAUUUUAUUUUUAAACUAGGAUUAGAUACCCUAUUAUUAAAAACGUUUCUGAUUUAAACUGAAUUAGUAAGAGAUAGGGUCUCAAAAAUUAAAUAUUUUGGCGGUAUUUUAUGACCUUUCAGAGGAACCUGUCCUGUAAUUGAUAGCCCACGAUUUUUGUUUACUUUAUUAUGUGUUUGUAUAUCGUCGUUUUUGAAAAUUUUUAAAAAAAUUAAUUUUCAAGAUUUUGGAUGGGAAAAUAAAUCAGAUCAAGGUGCAGCAUUGUUAAGUAGUGAUGGGUUACAAUACAUAUAUGUUUGGACUCACAAUUUAAAAUUGUGAUGAUUAUGGAUUUGAUGGUAAUUUUUUUUAAAUAUUAAAAAUGAUAUAGGCUCUAGAAUAUGUACAUAUCGCCCGUCGCUUUCGUAAACUUAUGAAAAAAGUCGUAACAUAGUAGAUUUACUGGAAAGUGAAUCUGGAAUGAUCAG